UUUGGCAAGCUACCUUUGCAUGUGAUUCCACUGCAACCUGACCCAUUCUCAGCCUCCUUCCAACACCCAGCUCAAGAGAGACCUUCUAUAUUGGAAAAAUGAAGUCUCACAAAAGAAUUAAACAGAUCAAACAUUUUGACCUUUUGAUGAGUGGAAAAUGUUGGGAUUUUUUUCUGUCAAUCCUUAGACCUGAGAAAAAAGUUGAGGUCAUAUCCAGCAGCUCUUGAAGAUGCCUGCCAUUAGAAGACGCAAGGCUGAGGUUAUAAUAGAAAGGUAAAGAAGGAUGGAUAUUUGCCCUUGAUGACACUUGAGUGCUUUGACAGUGACAUAACACUUCACAUACAUCUCUAUUUUAUAUAUUGAAGAGAGACAGCUCAUCAGAUACACAAACUAUAAAUCUAAACUGUAAAUUCUUCCUAUCCAGAUGUCUGUAACACACACCAAAAAAAUUAUAUGAAAAAAAAUUAUUUCUGUCCUCUUCUGUGCUCUUUGCUUAUUAAAAUGUAAAAUUUGAGACAUUUGAUUGAGUUGUUAGGUUCUUAACACACUGAAUAUCUUUUGUUACAACAAAGUGAACUCCCUAAAAAUUUUAACUCAAAGCCAACAGGUAAGGUUCAGCUGGAAGGGACUCUGACACCGACUCCCUGUACAACCUUAAGGAAAUCUCUUUUUUCUUGUGUUCCUCCACUGAGAGCUAUUAGAGUCAAUUCAUUAAUGUGCACAAAUGUGAUUUAAGACCAUCAGACAGAAAAUAUUAAAGGAAAACCACUGUCAUCAUAGAUUUACAUUAAAUUAUCUUAAUAAACUGAAUACUAUGCUGUCUUUAGUUACAAAGUUAAAAAAAAGGUAGGCAAGCAGAGUCACACUGUCCUAUAACUAACAUGGCAGGGAGAUCUGUGACAGGAGAUGUACAGUUUCACAACAACUAAAACUUCAGAGGCUUUCUGCAAAACUACAGGUGAAAGCAAUGACAUGUUUCAUUUAGAGGUUUCCUAAUACUGUUUGUCUGGGAAAAAAAAACAACCAAAAACCAGAAGAGAAAGAAGGUAGCAAUUACUAUUGGGGAAAAUAUAAAAGAUGACUGCUGUGUGUGUGCCAGGCAUUGGAGAAAAUUACUACUUUGUCUUUACCAGAGAGAUGACAUUAUCCCUACAGCCAAACAGAAGCUACACUGUAAAUGCAAAGUUCAGAUAUAUUCAACAAGAAGAGGUGAGAAAUCCAACUGGAUAGAAACAGAGCCAUUCCCAAGUUAAUUUGGAUAAAGAAGUUUUGCCUACAGUCUAGGCUGCAUACAGCAGUUUACCAGUCACUUAGAAGAGGUGGUGGUACCAUCCCCAUUUUGGAAGCUCUAACAGGUUAGUGAUGGGAACCACCCAGGAUGACGAUGGGAAGCUGAGUGGUCACAAGCACAAGAGAGAUAGUUGGCACUGGGCUUUUUGCAUGUAUUUAAAUGAAUGAUAGCCCUGUGCUGCCAAAUGGAGAGACUGUACUUUCCUGUUUGGGAAUAGAUUCCAGAAUUGGAAUGGUCUACAAUGACCCAGCAGGCAUAUCCCAAAUAAAAUGAUGGCUUAUUGGGUAUGUGAGCUUUUCACAUUUAUGCCUGGAUUUCUCUGUAUGACUGCUGGCUUGGAGGGAAAGACC
Corapipo altera (White-ruffed manakin) is the source of this 1641-nucleotide long non-coding RNA. RefSeq lists it as uncharacterized. NCBI's taxonomy places the organism in Eukaryota, Metazoa, Chordata, Aves, Passeriformes, Pipridae. The record is from RefSeq and is a predicted model, not a curated record. The transcript is spliced from 4 exons.